Molecule: unclassified non-coding RNA, 182 nt
Filed under: uncultured Melanconiella
Lineage: Eukaryota; Fungi; Ascomycota; Sordariomycetes; Diaporthales; Melanconidaceae
Description: sequence contains ITS1
Source: RNAcentral
CCGAGUCUUCGCACUCAAAUAACCCUUCUGUGGACCUGAAUAAAACCGUUGCCUCGGCGGGCGGCCCCACCUGCGGGCCGGACAGCCCGGUCGCCUUCCAGGCGCCGGCGCCAGCCGCUGGCCCCAAAACAAAAACUCUAGUAACCUUUGCCUUCUGAGUUUUAACGCAAGAAAUAAAGUCA